GUGUCAGCAGCCGCGGUAAUACAGAGGGGGCAAGCGUUAUUCGGAAUUAUUGGGCGUAAAGGGCGCGUAGGCGGCCUUGCAAGUGGAAGGUGAAAUCCCUCGGCUUAACCGAGGAACUGCCUUCCAGACUGCUAGGCUUGAGACCGGGAGAGGUGAGUGGAAUUCCCAGUGUAGCGGUGAAAUGCGUAGAUAUUGGGAGGAACACCAGUGGCGAAGGCGGCUCACUGGACCGGUACUGACGCUGAUGCGCGAAAGCGUGGGGAGCAAACGGGAUUAGAAACCCGCGUAGUCC
Molecule: ribosomal RNA, 292 nt
Filed under: uncultured bacterium
Lineage: Bacteria
Description: partial 16S ribosomal RNA
Rfam family: Bacterial small subunit ribosomal RNA
Source: RNAcentral